Molecule: ribosomal RNA, 253 nt
Filed under: uncultured bacterium
Lineage: Bacteria
Description: partial 16S ribosomal RNA
Rfam family: Bacterial small subunit ribosomal RNA
Source: RNAcentral
GACAGAGGUCCCGAGCGUUAGGCGGAAUCACUGGGCUUAAAGCGUGUGUAGGCGGAGUUCUAAGUACCUUGUGAAAUCCCACGGCUCAACCGUGGAACUGCUUGGUAUACUGGUUCUCUUGAGCCACCUAGGGGCAACCGGAACAAACGGUGGAGCGGUGAAAUGCGUAGAUAUCGUUUGGAACGCCAAUGGUGAAAACAGGUUGCUGGGGGUGUGCUGACGCUGAGACACGAAAGCCGGGGGAGCAAACGGG